CCUACGGGGGGCAGCAGUGAGGAAUAUUGGUCAAUGGACGAGAGUCUGAACCAGCCAAGUAGCGUGAAGGAUGACUGCCCUAUGGGUUGUAAACUUCUUUUAUAUGGGAAUAAAAUGUUGCACGUGUGGGAUUUUGUAUGUACCAUAUGAAUAAGGAUCGGCUAACUCCGUGCCAGCAGCCGCGGUAAUACGGAGGAUACGAGCGUUAUCCGGAUUUAUUGGGUUUAAAGGGAGCGUAGGGGGUUUGUUAAGUCAGUUGUGAAAGUUUGCGGCUCAACCGUAAAAUUGCAGUUGAAACUGGCAGUCUUGAGUACAGUAGAGGUGGGCGGAAUUCGUGGUGUAGCGGUGAAAUGCUUAGAUAUCACGAAGAACUCCGAUUGCGAAGGCAGUUCACUGGACUGCAACUGACACUGAGGCUCGAAAGUGUGGGUAUCAAACAGGAUUAGAUACCCGUGUAGUC
Molecule: ribosomal RNA, 460 nt
Filed under: uncultured bacterium
Lineage: Bacteria
Description: partial 16S ribosomal RNA
Rfam family: Bacterial small subunit ribosomal RNA
Source: RNAcentral